UACGAAGGGGGCUAGCGUUGCUCGGAAUCACUGGGCGUAAAGCGCACGUAGGCGGAUCUUUAAGUCAGGGGUGAAAUCCUGGGGCUCAACUCCAGAACUGCCUUUGAUACUGAAGAUCUUGAGUUCGGGAGAGGUGAGUGGAACUGCGAGUGUAGAGGUGAAAUUCGUAGAUAUUCGCAAGAACACCAGUGGCGAAGGCGGCUCACUGGCCCGAUACUGACGCUGAGGCACGAAAGCGUGGGGAGCAAACAGG
Molecule: ribosomal RNA, 253 nt
Filed under: uncultured bacterium
Lineage: Bacteria
Description: partial 16S ribosomal RNA
Rfam family: Bacterial small subunit ribosomal RNA
Source: RNAcentral